UACGGAGGGUGCAAGCGUUGUCCGGAUUUAUUGGGUUUAAAGGGUGCGUAGGCGGCUAAUUAAGUCAGCGGUGAAAUUCCACAGCUCAACUGUGGAACUGCCAUUGAUACUGGUUGGCUUGAGUACAGAUGAGGUAGGCGGAAUUGACAGUGUAGCGGUGAAAUGCUUAGAUAUUGUCAAGAACUCCUAUUGCGAAGGCAGCUUACUAAGCUGUAACUGACGCUGAGGCACGAAAGCGUGGGGAUCAAACAGG
This 253-nucleotide ribosomal RNA is filed under the name uncultured bacterium. RNAcentral describes it as "partial 16S ribosomal RNA". It matches the Rfam family "Bacterial small subunit ribosomal RNA", at positions 524 to 776 of the family's 1533-position model. The record is from RNAcentral.